Molecule: non-coding RNA, 23 nt
Filed under: Arabidopsis thaliana (thale cress)
Lineage: Eukaryota; Viridiplantae; Streptophyta; Magnoliopsida; Brassicales; Brassicaceae
Source: RNAcentral
AGCUAGCUUUUGGGUUAAAGUUA